AUAAUACUCUCGGCAAUGGAUAUCUAGGCCCUAGCAUCGAUGAAGAAUGUAGCAAAAUGAGAUACUUGGUAUGAAUUGCAGAAUCCCUUGAACCAUCAAGUCAUUGAACACAAGUUGCGCCCGGAGCCUUCAGGCCGAGGGCACGCCUGCCUGGGCAUCACGC
This 163-nucleotide ribosomal RNA is filed under the name Aponogeton satarensis. RNAcentral's name for it is "5.8S ribosomal RNA". It matches the Rfam family "5.8S ribosomal RNA". From Rfam's summary of the family: 5.8S ribosomal RNA (5.8S rRNA) is a component of the large subunit of the eukaryotic ribosome. It is transcribed by RNA polymerase I as part of the 45S precursor that also contains 18S and 28S rRNA. Functionally, it is thought that 5.8S rRNA may be involved in ribosome translocation. The record is from RNAcentral. Lineage: Eukaryota; Viridiplantae; Streptophyta; Magnoliopsida; Alismatales; Aponogetonaceae.